CCGUUCAUCUAAGAUCAGGUGGUUUAUAAUCACUAGGAGUUCUCACAAACCCUAGGUCCCUAACCCUUUUCUAUUCCUCGUGCACUGUGCAGCCAUGCGGCCGUGUCGUGCGAGGGCUUGGAGUUGGAAGCACCGAGCACGCGAGUCCGAGAGGAGGGGAAGAUCGCCGCGGUUAGGAGGAGGGGAAGAAGAUCGCCCCGAGUCUGAGAGGAGGGGAAGACGAAGAUCACCGCGGUUAGGAGGAGGGGAAGAUCGCCGUGGUUAGUAUUUUAAUGUUCUCAUAAUUUCGCUACUGCCCCAAUUUUUUAUUUUCCUUUUCUUUUGUUUUUGGUUUCAAUCGAUCUAGGUUAAGCAAGUUUUGCAAGGAUUUCUCACUUGAUUUAGAUUUUUAUUCACAAGGUUCUGAAGAUUUUCUUUUGGAUCAGCAGUUCUUCCGAUGAAGUGAGAGCUUCGUUACUUUUUUUCCUUCUUUGUGAAGUUGUUGCUCUUCUGGUCCUUGGUGUUCUCCGAUUCCGGCUUCUUUCUUCGGUGGAGUGAGAGCUUGGAACCCUAGGAUCGUCAGAUCGGACGGCGGAUCGGCCCAGAAAAUAGAGUUGAGAACCGUUUCUUGGAUAGGAGAGGUGGAAGCUCCUGGAAUUAGCUGGAUCUCUCUCAUUGCCGAAAGCAAUUCCAUUACUUGGAUCUUAAAUAAGAUUAUCAUCUACCUCAUGUUUGUGAAUGUCUGCACUGUAAUACUAAUUUGGUAAAAGGUGUGCUUUUUGCCUGGCGCUGUUUGGAAUUUUCUGAGAUUUGGUAGCAUGAGCACAAGACGGGGUUUUAAUUUCCAUUUGAUAUUAUUUAAGUGUCAUACGGUAUUUUCUUGAGCAUACUGCUACCCCAAGGAUAGCACUAAAUCCUUUAGCUGACCUAUCAACUAUGUGAGAACAUUAUCUGUUGUUUGAUUUGAAGUACUGCUUUGUUUAUUCCUUGAGAGCAGAGAUCAAUGAAAUUCCAUACCGCCUUGUGGUUGCUGGUCGAUUUUUCUUCAACAUGCGUGGUCUUUGAAACUUGUAUUUGUGGAGG
Non-coding RNA from Phoenix dactylifera (date palm), 1062 nucleotides. NCBI's taxonomy places the organism in Eukaryota, Viridiplantae, Streptophyta, Magnoliopsida, Arecales, Arecaceae. The record is from RefSeq and is a predicted model, not a curated record.